UGGGGAAUUUUGGACAAUGGGCGAAAGCCUGAUCCAGCAAUGCCGCGUGUGUGAAGAAGGCCUUCGGGUUGUAAAGCACUUUUGUCCGGAAAGAAAUCCUUGGCUCUAAUACAGUCGGGGGAUGACGGUACCGGAAGAAUAAGCACCGGCUAACUACGUGCCAGCAGCCGCGGUAAUACGUAGGGUGCAAGCGUUAAUCGGAAUUACUGGGCGUAAAGCGUGCGCAGGCGGUUUGCUAAGACCGAUGUGAAAUCCCCGGGCUCAACCUGGGAACUGCAUUGGUGACUGGCAGGCUAGAGUGUGGCAGAGGGGGGUAGAAUUCCACGUGUAGCAGUGAAAUGCGUAGAGAUAUGGAGGAAUACCGAUGGCGAAGGCAGCCCCCUGGGCCAAUACUGACGCUCAUGCACGAAAGCGUGGGGAGCAAACAGGAUUAGAUACCCUGGUAGUCCACGCCCUAAACGAUGUCAACUAGUUGUUGGGGAUUCAUUUCCUUAGUAACGUAGCUAACGCGUGAAGUUGACCGCCUGGGGAGUACGGUCGCAAGAUUAAAACUCAAAUGAAUUGACGGGGUCAUAGCUGUUUCCU
This 585-nucleotide ribosomal RNA is filed under the name uncultured bacterium. RNAcentral describes it as "partial 16S ribosomal RNA". It matches the Rfam family "Bacterial small subunit ribosomal RNA", at positions 355 to 1375 of the family's 1533-position model. The record is from RNAcentral.